CUUGCAUCAGCUUUAUGCUACAGUAACACUGAAAUGAUUCAGAAGAAUCUAAGAACAAUGGCUACUCAGAGUCAACAAUUCAUUUUAAAAAGUUCUGGGCCAAAAACCAC
RNAcentral lists this long non-coding RNA (110 nucleotides) under Chinchilla lanigera (long-tailed chinchilla). RNAcentral describes it as "lncRNA (ENSCLAG00000024855.1)". The record is from RNAcentral. Lineage: Eukaryota; Metazoa; Chordata; Mammalia; Rodentia; Chinchillidae.